Strongylocentrotus purpuratus (purple sea urchin) is the source of this 308-nucleotide long non-coding RNA. RefSeq lists it as uncharacterized. The record is from RefSeq and is a predicted model, not a curated record. The transcript is spliced from 3 exons. Lineage: Eukaryota; Metazoa; Echinodermata; Echinoidea; Camarodonta; Strongylocentrotidae.
CAUGCAUUGCUUUGUUGAUCAGCUGUUCCAAACUUCUGUCCGGAGGUCGGUGGAUCGUGGACGACGAUGAUGGCAAUCAAUUUAAGCUGUUGAUCUCACAGAGUGUGUUUACAUACGGGCCUCCAUCCAUAGCAAGCUAAUGAAGAUAGCCUGCUCGUUCUUCAUUCAACUAGACUUCUACACAGAGAUUGACAUGGUUCUAGAUGAACUGACAUACAGGCCUCCAUCUAGCUCCACCUGUGUACUAUAUGUACCACAUCUCUGCCUGCAUUACUGAUCCAGCAUCUCAUCUGUUGGAGUUAGCUACA